Molecule: non-coding RNA, 68 nt
Organism: Podarcis lilfordi (Lilford's wall lizard)
Lineage: Eukaryota; Metazoa; Chordata; Lepidosauria; Squamata; Lacertidae
Source: the annotation of a GenBank genome assembly
GGUAGCUCAGUUGGUAGAGCACAAGACUCUUUAUCUCAAGGCCGUGGGUUCAAGUCCUGUGUUGGGCA